GACGUAGGGCGCGAGCGUUGUCCGGAUUUAUUGGGCGUAAAGAGUUCGUAGGCGGUUACUUAAGUCAGGGGUGAAAUCCUGGAGCUCAACUCCAGAACUGCCUUUGAUACUGAGGAUCUUGAGUCCGGGAGAGGUGAGUGGAACUGCGAGUGUAGAGGUGAAAUUCGUAGAUAUUCGCAAGAACACCAGUGGCGAAGGCGGCUCACUGGCCCGGUACUGACGCUGAGGUGCGAAAGCGUGGGGAGCAAACAGG
Molecule: ribosomal RNA, 253 nt
Filed under: uncultured bacterium
Lineage: Bacteria
Description: partial 16S ribosomal RNA
Rfam family: Bacterial small subunit ribosomal RNA
Source: RNAcentral